This 288-nucleotide long non-coding RNA is filed under the name Zostera marina. RNAcentral's name for it is "long non-coding RNA (ZMAR_LNC006088)". The record is from RNAcentral. Lineage: Eukaryota; Viridiplantae; Streptophyta; Magnoliopsida; Alismatales; Zosteraceae.
UUUGAUUGAGAUAGAACUGUUUUCUUCAGGUCUUCAAACAUAUCAAACAUUUCAUCAUAUUUCCUUUUUAAAAUUUGAUUAUCCUGUAAAAUAUUUAAGAUUCAUUUAUAUUUAUGUAUUACUUUAAAAUUUUAUUGACUUUCAUACUUAUACCUCCAUGAGCUUUUCCAUUCGAUCGUUCAUUUUUUCUUUUCCUUUUUCUUUUUCUUUGUCUUUGUCGAUAGAUCUUGCAUUCAUUUCAAUUGAAAAUCUGGUAGAAGCAGUGCUCGACUCAGCAAAUGAUCCUCC